GACGAACGCUGGCGGCGUGCCUAAUACAUGCAAGUAGAACGCUGAAGGAGGAGCUUGCUUCUCUGGAUGAGUUGCGAACGGGUGAGUAACGCGUAGGUAACCUGCCUGGUAGCGGGGGAUAACUAUUGGAAACGAUAGCUAAUACCGCAUAAGAGUAGAUGUCGCAUGACAUUUGCUUAAAAGGUGCAAUUGCAUCACUACCAGAUGGACCUGCGUUGUAUUAGCUAGUUGGUGAGGUAACGGCUCACCAAGGCAACGAUACAUAGCCGACCUGAGAGGGUGAUCGGCCACACUGGGACUGAGACACGGCCCAGACUCCUACGGGAGGCAGCAGUAGGGAAUCUUCGGCAAUGGACGGAAGUCUGACCGAGCAACGCCGCGGGAGUGAAGAAGGUUGUCGGAUCGUAAAGCUCUGUUGUAAGAGAAGAACGAGUGUGAGAGUGGAAAGUUCACACUGUGACGGUAUCUUACCAGAAAGGGACGGCUAACUACGUG
This 495-nucleotide ribosomal RNA is filed under the name uncultured bacterium. RNAcentral's name for it is "partial 16S ribosomal RNA". It matches the Rfam family "Bacterial small subunit ribosomal RNA", at positions 28 to 507 of the family's 1533-position model. The record is from RNAcentral.